GGGGUUGUAGCUCAGUGGUAGAGCGCUUGCCUCGCAUGCAUGAGGCCUUGGGUUUGAUCCUCAGCACCACA
This 71-nucleotide transfer RNA is filed under the name Marmota monax (woodchuck). Its description in RNAcentral is "tRNA.Ala". It matches the Rfam family "tRNA". Rfam says of the family: Transfer RNA (tRNA) molecules are approximately 80 nucleotides in length. Their secondary structure includes four short double-helical elements and three loops (D, anti-codon, and T loops). Further hydrogen bonds mediate the characteristic L-shaped molecular structure. tRNAs have two regions of fundamental functional importance: the anti-codon, which is responsible for specific mRNA codon recognition, and the 3' end, to which the tRNAs corresponding amino acid is attached (by aminoacyl-tRNA synthetases). tRNAs cope with the degeneracy of the genetic code in two manners: having more than one tRNA (with a specific anti-codon) for a particular amino acid; and 'wobble' base-pairing, i.e. permitting non-standard base-pairing at the 3rd anti-codon position. Lineage: Eukaryota; Metazoa; Chordata; Mammalia; Rodentia; Sciuridae. The record is from RNAcentral.